Molecule: ribosomal RNA, 208 nt
Filed under: uncultured Syntrophorhabdus sp.
Lineage: Bacteria; Pseudomonadati; Thermodesulfobacteriota; Syntrophorhabdia; Syntrophorhabdales; Syntrophorhabdaceae
Description: partial 16S ribosomal RNA
Rfam family: Bacterial small subunit ribosomal RNA
Source: RNAcentral
CGCGUAGGUGGUUGUGAUAGUCAGAUGUGAAAUCCUUUGGCUUAACUGAAGAACUGCAUCUGAAACUUCAUAACUCGAGUACAGGAGGAGGGAAACGGAAUUCCCGGUGUAGAGGUGAAAUUCGUAGAUAUCGGGAGGAACACCAGUGGCGAAGGCGGUUUCCUGGCCUGAUACUGACACUGAGGCGCGAAAGCGUGGGGAGCAAACA